RNAcentral lists this transfer RNA (72 nucleotides) under Camelus bactrianus (Bactrian camel). It matches the Rfam family "tRNA". Rfam says of the family: Transfer RNA (tRNA) molecules are approximately 80 nucleotides in length. RNAcentral also lists the same sequence under 3 other names. Lineage: Eukaryota; Metazoa; Chordata; Mammalia; Artiodactyla; Camelidae. The record is from Rfam by way of RNAcentral.
GGUGGUAUAGCUCAGUGGUAGAGUGAAUGCUUAGCAUGCAUGAGGUCCUAGUUUCAAUCCCCAGUACCUCUG